Molecule: long non-coding RNA, 418 nt
Organism: Salvia splendens (bonfire salvia)
Lineage: Eukaryota; Viridiplantae; Streptophyta; Magnoliopsida; Lamiales; Lamiaceae
Exons: 3
Source: RefSeq, a predicted model, not a curated record
UUUCGUCUAUGAGCAGCUCCCCUCAACCUCCAUAGCCAAAAACCUUCUUUCUCAUUUAUUUGGCUCGUUCGUAGGUAAAUCGGGGAUUUAAUCGUAUAAAACAUAGCAAAUCAAUAUAAGGCAUAGAAGCUUGUAACACGAGUCGUGCAAAAAUGAAUGGAUCUAGAAGAUAGCGAAGGGUCGAAAGGUGAAAUAGGCUUAUGUUCAUAAGCCUGCGAGGUUAGAGUUGAUAUUAUGUCAGUGGUGUUGCGCAGCUUUGCAUCUUUUGCGAGUCACUGGUGGUCAACUUGGUUUAGUAGUCGUGGCAUGUUGUAUAAUAGUUUAAUCUUUAAUCUUCCACAGGAUAAAUGUUAAGUUUUAAAAUGUAAUAGAUUUUAAUUGUGCUUUUAAGCUAAAAAGAAAAAGAAAAAUUUCAGCA